RNAcentral lists this ribosomal RNA (709 nucleotides) under uncultured fungus. Its description in RNAcentral is "eukaryotic LSU rRNA". It matches the Rfam family "Eukaryotic large subunit ribosomal RNA", at positions 24 to 664 of the family's 3401-position model. Lineage: Eukaryota; Fungi. The record is from RNAcentral.
CCCGCUGAACUUAAGCAUAUCAUUGAGCGGAGGACAAGAAAACAACUGUGAUUCCCUGAGUAACUGCGAGUGAAUAGGGAAAAGCCCAUGCUUGAAUCCGGUGUGGAUGGAACCUCGGAAACACCGGAAUUGUAGUGCAAGGGUGUGGAGUGACCUGAGUCAGUCGGAAGAAUCGCUCAGGAACGAGCAACCAAUGAGGGCUAUCGUCCCGUACUCUCCGACGCGGCUUGGGUCGCAUGCUCCAUUCUCCAAGAGUCGGGCAGUUUGAGAAUGCUGUCCAAAUCCGCAGGUGUAUUCCUGCGAAGGCUAAAUAUUUCACCAAGACCGAUAGCGAACAAGUAGUGUGAACGAAAGAUGAAAAGUACUUUGAAAAGAGAGUGAAAAGUCCUUGACAUUGUUGGGCGCAAAGGGUAUGAGACCCAUUGUAUGCUUCUGCUUUCUAGCGAGAGCCGUCAACGCGGGUUUCCGGCUUCUGCAGGAGGCGUGCUGCCUGAUACCUUCGGGUUGAGGGAGCUGCCCUCUGUUGCAGAAAGUCGGAGACCUGGCAGAGUCUUUCCGCAGCACGCGCUUGAUUUUGCCUUUGUACCGCCUGGCCAAAGCGCUCUUCCUCGUGGGGAGUCUUUACCAGGCAUGCGUGGGCACCAGGCGCGUGCGAGCUGAGGAAUCGUUGACCUUUUAAUGGUCUCUUACCACCCGUCUUGAAACACGG